Chiloscyllium plagiosum (whitespotted bambooshark) is the source of this 428-nucleotide non-coding RNA. Lineage: Eukaryota; Metazoa; Chordata; Chondrichthyes; Orectolobiformes; Hemiscylliidae. The record is from RefSeq and is a predicted model, not a curated record.
UAAUUUUCUCCCUUUGCUAUUGUAGAUUUGUCUAAGAAUCGACUUUCGGAGAUUCCUUGUGAAAUCUGCCAGUAUAUCUCGCUGGAAACACUGAAUCUGUAUCACAACAGCGUGCGCAAUAUUCCCAGAGCCAUCACCAAUCUCCAGGCUCUAACUUACCUCAACGUCAGUCGCAGCCACCUGUGUGUGUUACCUCCGUACCUGUGCUGCCUACCACUGAAGGUGCUCAUUGCCAGUAACAACAAGCUGACCACCCUGCCCGAGGAUAUUGGCUGUCUCAGCCAGCUCCGUGAACUGGAUGUGAGCUGUAACGAUAUCCAUGCGCUGCCCUCCCAGAUCGGCAACCUGGAGUCACUGAGGGACCUCAAUGUCCGCCGCAAUCAGUUGGCCACCCUCCCAGAAGGUGAGGCACUCAGCAGACAGUCCCA